AGGCUGGACAUUGGGAGCUCCUGGGACAGUGGGAGGUGGCCCUGCCAUGGCAGUUCUGGGAUGAGAUGAUCUUUAAGGUCCCUUCCAACCCAAACCAUUCCAUGGUUCCAUGAAAGGAAAUGUCUUUGGACACAUCCCCUCUCGGUGGGGAGAGUGAAGUCAGAUCCUAAUUCCAGAAGGGGAAGCCACACUUGAUGGAUCAGAUAAAGUGCAGAGGCUGCAACUGUCAACACAGAAAUAACUGAGAGUGGAUUUGAGGUGUAUUGGAAUUAUUUCUGCCUGGUGUCUGCUCUUGGCUGGCAGGACAGGGCAGGGCCAGCAAGGGAGUUUGGAAAUGAUGGCAUCUCUCUUGGAGUCAUUUUCCUGCAUUUCACAGGAGGAAAAAAUUCUAUGUGGGGAUGAAAUUAUGAAUUUUCUCCCUCUGUCCUCAUCACGGAAAUUUCACGGUGGUGAUUUGUCCAGCCAAGAAUUUUAAGCAAUAAAUUUGGUCAUGCUCUAUUUAA
This is a long non-coding RNA of Parus major (Great Tit), 503 nucleotides long. RefSeq lists it as uncharacterized. The transcript is spliced from 4 exons. Lineage: Eukaryota; Metazoa; Chordata; Aves; Passeriformes; Paridae. The record is from RefSeq and is a predicted model, not a curated record.